GCCAGGCACGGUGGCACAUACCUGUAAUCCCAGGGACCUGGGAGCCUGAGGCAGGAGGAUCACAAGUUUGAGGCCAGCUUCCACAUGUUAGUGAGACCCUGUCUUUU
RNAcentral lists this small RNA (107 nucleotides) under Marmota monax (woodchuck). The record is from RNAcentral. Lineage: Eukaryota; Metazoa; Chordata; Mammalia; Rodentia; Sciuridae.